RNAcentral lists this long non-coding RNA (1018 nucleotides) under Pan troglodytes (chimpanzee). Its description in RNAcentral is "long non-coding RNA NONPTRT008081". The record is from RNAcentral. Lineage: Eukaryota; Metazoa; Chordata; Mammalia; Primates; Hominidae.
GGGGAGUGCUCCCUGUCAGACACAGGAUAGGGGUCGUCAGACCCAGCCCCUUCCUCCCUCCAACUCAGGAGCCCAGGCUCCCAGCCAGAUUCCUCAAAGACCCUGAGGAGUCCACCCGUAGACUCCUUCUCUCUCUAACUAAGGAGCCCUGUGUACCUGGGGUGGAGACCGCUACCUUCCCCCAUCCCCCGGGGGUUGGGUCGGUCUGAUGAUGGGGUCACUGUAUACCUGGCCUUUCCCCCACAGCUCGGAAUACCUGGCCAUCACCUCCGAAAGCAAAGAGAACUGCACGGGCGUCCAGGUGGCCGAAUAGCCCUGGCCCUGGGCCCCGCCUCAAGGAAGAGCCAGCCCUAAUGGGGACUCUCCAGGCACCGCCUGCCCCCAGUGUUGGGGUGGCCACUCCUGGGCCCCAGAAAGCCUCAGAGUCCUGCCGACGGAGCCACUGGGGUGGGAGGGGGCAGGGGGCUUGGCUCGCACCCCCACUUUCGCCUCCUCCAGCUCCUGCCCCGCCGGCCGCGCACCGCCAUGCAUGAUGGGUAAAGCAAUACUGCCGCUGCCCCCACCCUGCUUCUGCUGCCUGUUUGGGGAGGGGGGCGGUGAGGUGGGGGCAGCGGCCCCGCACCCCUCCUCCUUGCUGAUUUGCACACAUUGGCCGCUUCAGACACGCACUUCUGGGGCCAGCCCCUCCCCGCCUCCUCCCUGCCUGGCGGCAGGGGUCGCGAUGAUGGGCUGGAGCAGUUUAGGGCAGGGGGUUCUGGGACCCACUCCGACUCCCCCUCCCCGGCAUCAUUUCCCCUCCCGCUUCCUCCGGCUGGACCUGGGGUCCCCCCUCCCUGUAAUGCACUCCUGCCCCGGCCCGACCUCGCCCUCUCUCACCAGCCUUGAACUGUGGCCACCUAGAAAGGGGCCCAUUCAGCCUCGUCUCUUUACAGAAGUAGUUUUGUUCAUGAAAUAAAGACUCUUGGACUUGAUGCAUAGUUUCGAUUGUGAGCCCCGUCACCUUCCCCCCAUUCCCGUC